This is an unclassified non-coding RNA of Microcebus murinus (gray mouse lemur), 77 nucleotides long. The record is from Ensembl. NCBI's taxonomy places the organism in Eukaryota, Metazoa, Chordata, Mammalia, Primates, Cheirogaleidae.
AAAGACGUGAAAGAUGGAGCCUUAGGUUAGCUCCCCACUUUCUGCUGCCAGAACCUAGAUUCAAAGAGCUUCAGAGG